ACUGGGACUGAGACACGGCCCAGACUCCUACGGGAGGCAGCAGUGGGGAAUUUUGCGCAACGGGGGCAACCCUGACGCAGCAACGCCGCGUGAGUGAAGACGCCUUUCGGGGUGUAAAACUCUGUGAGGUGGAACGAAGAGUCCGGGUUAAGAGCCCGUGAUGAUGACGGUGCCACCUGAGCAAGCCCCGGCUAACUCCGUGCCAGCAGCCGCGGUAAUACGGGAGUGGCAAGCGUUAUCCGGAAUUAUUGGGCGUAAAGCGUCCGCAGGCGGUCUUGAAAGUCUGUUGUUAAAGCGUGGAGCUCAACUCCAUUUCAGCAAUGGAAACUAGAAGACUAGAGUGUGGUAGGGGCAGAGGGAAUUCCCGGUGUAGCGGUGAAAUGCGUAGAUAUCGGGAAGAACACCAGUGGCGAAGGCGCUCUGCUGGGCUAUAACUGACGCUCAUGGACGAAAGCCAGGGGAGCGAAAGGGAUUAGAUACCCCUGUAGUCCUGGCCGUAAACGAUGAACACUAGGUGUCGGGGGAAUCGACCCCCUCGGUGUCGUAGCCAACGCGUUAAGUGUUCCGCCUGGGGAGUACGCACGCAAGUGUGAAACUCAAAGGAAUUGACGGGGGCCCGCGCAAGCGGUGGAGUAUGUGGUUUAAUUCGAUGCAACGCGAAGAACCUUACCAGGGUUUGACAUCCUGCGAAUCCCUUGGAAACUUGGGAGUGCCUUCGGGAGCGCAGUGACAGGUGGUGCAUGGCUGUCGUCAGCUCGUGUCGUGAGAUGUUGGGUUAAGUCCCGCAACGAGCGCAACCCACGUCUUUAGUUGCCAGCAUUAAGUUGGGCACUCUAGAGAGACUGCCGGUGAUAAACCGGAGGAAGGUGUGGAUGACGUCAAGUCAUCAUGCCCCUUACAUCCUGGGCUACACACGUACUACAAUGCUACGGACAAAGGGCAGCAAACUCGCGAGAGCUAGCAAAUCCCAUAAACCGUGGCUCAGUUCAGAUCGUAGGCUGCAACUCGCCUACGUGAAGGAGGAAUCGCUAGUAAUCGCAGGUCAGCAUACUGCGGUGAAUACGUUCCCGGGCCUUGUUCACACCGCCCGUCACACUAUGGAAGUUGGCCACGCCCGAAGUCGUUACUCCAACCCGCAAGGGAGGAGGAUGCCGAAGGUGGGGCUGAUGACUGGGGUGAAGUCGUAACAAGGUAGCCGUACCGGAAGGUGCGGCUG
This 1216-nucleotide ribosomal RNA is filed under the name metagenome. Its description in RNAcentral is "bacterial SSU rRNA". It matches the Rfam family "Bacterial small subunit ribosomal RNA", at positions 312 to 1520 of the family's 1533-position model. The record is from RNAcentral.